Pimephales promelas (fathead minnow) is the source of this 211-nucleotide non-coding RNA. The record is from RefSeq and is a predicted model, not a curated record. Lineage: Eukaryota; Metazoa; Chordata; Actinopteri; Cypriniformes; Leuciscidae.
UAUUUCGAAGUGGAGAGACUCCUCCCCUGACACUGACAUGAAACAGCACUCGUUUCUGUCAGCAGAUCUUUGCACGACUCACACAAAGACGUGUCAGCAUCACUUCAACAAGGUCAUACAUUUGAAUCCAUUCUGAAUCCACUGGAGGAUCCGUCUGAAGUCUUUCUGCUUGUAGUUCAGUGAUUGUCUGAAACCGAAACACGAUGAGGAC